AUGGAGAAAAGGCCAUUGGCAUUGGCAGCGGAGGUUUUCUUGGCAGAGAUACUAGAGUGGUUUGCCAUUUCCACCUGCAGCUCAUUUUACAGACUGGCUUCUGAUCACUCACUCAAGAGAAACUGCUCUCUCUCCAUAGUUGCCAACAAUCUUUUAAUUGCCCAAUCUGUUGGUAUUUCCUCAAUUCUCAUGCUUUUUUUGAUCUCUGUCAUAUUUGACUUGGUUGACUCAUCAAUUCAAGAAACUUUUUUUAAGGACUUACUAUGUCCUAGACACCUCCAAACUCUGGAAAUACAAACAAGAAAAAGAAAGACAGUUCUUUCCCUCAAGGAGCUUACGGUCUAAUGGGGAAGUUUAUAAUUAGAAUCUGCUCCCCAGAACUUCAAUUCCCAGCAUCCCACUUUCAGUCUCACAUUAUGUCCUUACAUUUUGGAGAUAAAGUUUGUUUGUGACUAUGCCUCUUUUUUUUUUCCCCAUGAACUCGGGUGGGAAAACUUUACUCAAGGUUUUUACUUUUGCCCUUUUAUUUCUUCUAUUUCAAGUGAUUAUUAAUAAAUAUUAU
This 562-nucleotide long non-coding RNA is filed under the name Monodelphis domestica (gray short-tailed opossum). RNAcentral describes it as "lncRNA (ENSMODG00000039043.1)". The record is from RNAcentral. Lineage: Eukaryota; Metazoa; Chordata; Mammalia; Didelphimorphia; Didelphidae.